GACGAACGCUGGCGGCGUGCUUAACACAUGCAAGUCGAGCGGUAAGGCCCUUUCGGGGGCACACGAGCGGCGAACGGGUGAGUAACACGUGGGUGACCUGCCCUCAGCUCUGGGAUAAGCCUGGGAAACCGGGUCUAAUACUGGAUAUGACUCCAUGACGCAUGUUGUGGGGUGGAAAGCCUUGUGCGGCUGAGGAUGGGCCCGCGGCCUAUCAGCUUGUUGGUGGGGUGAUGGCCUACCAAGGCGACGACGGGUAGCCGGCCUGAGAGGGCGACCGGCCACACUGGGACUGAGACACGGCCCAGACUCCUACGGGAGGCAGCAGUGGGGAAUCUUGUGCAAUGGGCGAAAGCCUGACGCAGCGACGCCGCGUGAGGGAUGACGGCCU
Molecule: ribosomal RNA, 388 nt
Filed under: uncultured bacterium
Lineage: Bacteria
Description: bacterial SSU rRNA
Rfam family: Bacterial small subunit ribosomal RNA
Source: RNAcentral